CCAGCUUGCUGACUGCAGAUCUUGGAACUUCUCAGCCUCCAUAAUCAUGCCCCAUCGUGGAAGGAUUACUGAGAAUUCUCCAGGGCUGCCUUGCCGCGUGCUGGGCUCUCAAACCUCAGUGACCUGAGACCGCUGGUGAUGUCGUGGAAGCUGGAAGGUCACGUUUCCACCAGCUUUCGGAACGUGAGGCAAGCAGCCUUCCUUCUUCUCAGCCUGGCAUCACGUGACCGCUCAAAGUGGGGAGGAGGGCGGAGGCUGCCUGUGCAGGGCCGUGUGUGUAUGUAGAGAGACACCUAUAUACGCAUAUGUGUGCGUAGGGCAGAAACCCACAAAUGGAGGUGUGUAUAUAUACACGUGGAUGCCCACGUGUGUACACGUGUGCACUCCGGGAUGCCCACAGAUGUGCACAUGCGUGCACGUGAGGACACCCGUGUAUACACCAAAACACGAUUCUCUAACAGAUGCACAAAUGGGUCUCGUAAGACUUUCUUCUUCCCCUUCCCCCAAAGUGUAAAAUUGCCAGUGACUAUCAAGUCGUGUCUACCGGGUUUGAAGGAAGUAGGAUGUGUCUGGGUAACAGGAAAGAAUCCAUGCCAGAUGGUGCUCUUUUCAUCUUGAAGGCCAACAUGUUGAGAUGUGCCUUCACCCAGAGGGGAGAGAAAAUUCUUAAAUCAAUCAAACAAACUAAGCAAGGUGGGGAAGAGACAUACCACGUUCAUGGAUCAGAAGACUCCACAUGGCGAGGAUGCCAGUCUCCUCCCAAAUCGAUCGAUAUGGUUAACACAAU
Long non-coding RNA from Herpailurus yagouaroundi (jaguarundi), 787 nucleotides. RefSeq lists it as uncharacterized. The transcript is spliced from 3 exons. Lineage: Eukaryota; Metazoa; Chordata; Mammalia; Carnivora; Felidae. The record is from RefSeq and is a predicted model, not a curated record.